GUGCCUAAUACAUGCAAGUCGAACGAUACUUUCUUACACCGAAUGCUUGCAUUCAUCCGUAAGAAGUUGAGUGGCGGACGGGUGAGUAACACGUGGGUAACCUGCCUAAAAGAAGGGGAUAACACUUGGAAACAGGUGCUAAUACCGUAUAUCUCUAAGGAUCGCAUGAUCCUUAGAUGAAAGAUGGUUCUGCUAUCGCUUUUAGAUGGACCCGCGGCGUAUUAACUAGUUGGUGGGGUAACGGCCUACCAAGGUGAUGAUACGUAGCCGAACUGAGAGGUUGAUCGGCCACAUUGGGACUGAGACACGGCCCAAACUCCUACGGGAGGCAGCAGUAGGGAAUCUUCCACAAUGGACGCAAGUCUGAUGGAGCAACGCCGCGUGAGUGAAGAAGGUCUUCGGAUCGUACAAACUCUGUCGUUAGAGAAGACCACGAGUGAGAGUAACUGUUCAUCCCAUGACGCUAUCUAACCACCAAGUCACGGCUAACUACGUGCCAGCAGCCGCGGUAAUACGUACGUGGCAAGCGUCGUCCGGAUUUAUUGGGGCGUAAACCGGAACGCACCGCNGUCUCUCCCGCUCCUGAUGAUGACAGCCUUUCGGCCUUACCCGCGCAGCUACCUGCACUCCGCACCACCCGCCACGCACCUGCAGCUGCCAGCAAAGACGACCACGCUGGCAACCUCCAUGUUGUUACGCCGUGGCAACUGCGCUCCAUCUUU
Molecule: ribosomal RNA, 722 nt
Filed under: Ligilactobacillus salivarius
Lineage: Bacteria; Bacillati; Bacillota; Bacilli; Lactobacillales; Lactobacillaceae
Description: bacterial SSU rRNA
Rfam family: Bacterial small subunit ribosomal RNA (bases 1-535)
Source: RNAcentral